Molecule: non-coding RNA, 532 nt
Organism: Agelaius phoeniceus (red-winged blackbird)
Lineage: Eukaryota; Metazoa; Chordata; Aves; Passeriformes; Icteridae
Source: RefSeq, a predicted model, not a curated record
GCCGGCUCGGUUUGACCCAAAAGAGUCACAGUCAUUUAGGUCGGAAAAGACCUUUGAGAUCAUCGAGUCCAGUCUAUGACUAAACACAACUACGUCAAUUAGACCAUGUCACUGAGUACCACGUCCAGUCUUCUCCUUAAACACCUCCAGAGACGGACCUGUGCUCCAGACCCUCCACCAGCUUCGCUGCCCUUCUCUGGAUUCGCUCCAGCACCUCAAUGUCUUCCCUGGACGAGACACAGGAUUUGAGUGAGGUGUGGCCUCACCAGAGCCGAGUGCAGGGAUUGUAUCAGAACUGCACCAAUAUUCAUCCUGCACUAGAAGCUGGCAGACUGAGAGCUAUUUGAUACCAUCCACACAAUGAAAGAAUAAACAGAAAAAAAUACUGCCAAACGUGAAGGAAUCCUGUUUUACAGCUAACACUUAAAUUAGCCAGUUCAUGGUAUUUCUAGGAUUAAACAGGAAUGGGUUUUAAUAUAGAUUCUUGACAUUUGUAUCUGGUCCUAAAAGCACAUGAACAAACCCAAGAAGA